AGCGGCCGUUUGUGCUCACAGAUGGUGACGGUGUGGAGAGACGGUGGUGUUUCCUCAGAAGAACUAGCAGAGUCACAAAGGGCACGAGUCCUUCUCACCACCUUGACUUACUGACUGAUGCUCAUCUGCACUGCACAGAGGAAAUCAACUAACCGAGGAGGGUUUCUGAGUGAGGGAGAGAGGAGUCAUCAUCCAGGUAAAGUGACGUGGAUCAGUGGAUACACUUGUCUCCCCUUUAAAGAAGAUACUCUUAGAGAGAGACGAUCCGAGUCAUCCUUAAAUAUGGGAAGGAUAUCAGUCUUGGACUGUCUAACCUGCCGGAGCAGCACUGAAUAACCACCACACAUGAGCAUGUUCCUGCAACAUUCAGCAUCUGAUCUGCCAUCUGUGUGCUUCUGCUUUUGUGUCAAAUGUCAAACAGCUGGAGAGGAAACUACACCAGUGUACUGGGAUGUUUCAGCAACACGUGCCAGAUGCUGUUCCUUCGUGGUGACAUCACCAGAGACAGCCCCGCCCACCUCAGGACCUCGCCAUUGAUCAUGAUGAUUAUAAUGACGACAGCGAGCGGAACUAAGACUGUAAAAAUCCACGACCAGAAUGUUUAGAUGCUUUCUAAUUAUUAAUGAAUACUGAGAGCCUCUUUCUGUGUUUUGUCUGUUUUGGUUUUUUUACCUCAUUUGUUACUAACAAAGUUCACCAAACUCACACAGUUUACAUUCUGUAUGUUUCCAUCUUUACCAGCCACACUCUUAACUGCAAUUAAGAAAACAAACCGUAGAAAUCGUUGCUUUUCUCUUUUGUAAUUGAUGAUAAUUCAGUGAAUAUACUGCGCUGCUUCCUUUUGUUUCGUCUCACAUUGCUUUAAGUUUUUCAGUGUUCAGUUAUUUUUUACUGCUGUUUGAAUUCUCUGUAUGUUUGACCCUGUAGACUGUUUAAUGGACUGCUUGUCUUCCUGUUUGUAACCGCCGCCUGUUUUUGACUAAAGAUUUGGAUUUCUGACUUUAACACAGCCUCUGCGUGUCCUCCCUUUGUGUCCUCUUCCUCUGUGAAUGUGUUGCAUGUGUCACAGAUUCAUUUAUUAACAGCUUUCCCACAGUCAGUUGCAUCAGCAUUCAUUCACAGCACAUUUCAGAAGGAUUCAGAUUGAUACAGUGAUCUUAUAGUCAGAAUUAUCCUG
Molecule: long non-coding RNA, 1177 nt
Organism: Oreochromis aureus
Lineage: Eukaryota; Metazoa; Chordata; Actinopteri; Cichliformes; Cichlidae
Exons: 4
Source: RefSeq, a predicted model, not a curated record